This 3368-nucleotide long non-coding RNA is filed under the name Gallus gallus (chicken). Its description in RNAcentral is "lncRNA (ENSGALG00010002252.1)". The record is from RNAcentral. Lineage: Eukaryota; Metazoa; Chordata; Aves; Galliformes; Phasianidae.
GGGGACUUGGGUUCUGGACGUUCUGUGAGAGAUUUAAAACAAAAUGUUUCCACUAGCUUUCUCUCCCCCCCAAAAUCAGGCUGAGCCUUGGAAGGAUGAGUCUAUGUUAGCAGCAGUAAGAACCACAUUCACUAUCACAGCCAGCAAUUUAUUUUUCUCAUAUUAAAUGAGCCUUUUGUUCCAGAGAAGGUAGAUCUCACUUACAUGCCUGUACAAAAGUGAAAUGCAAGCUCAAGCUGAAAGCAUCUAUACUGCAAAGUUCUUUGGAUUGUGGAAACAUACAACAUCUCUGGAGAAUCUGCUGACAACCGGUGGAAAACCACUCUUCUCAUAGUACAAAGUGGCAAUUAGUAUAGCUAGCCUAGGUACCUCAACAUCAUGCAUCCUCUCCAGCAACAUCAUACUAGCAAGUCCCUGCUCCAAACACAUCUGAUAGCAACGGGCUGGAUUUGUCAGAUCAUUUCCAUUAAAAGAAACGUGGUGGUGCAGCUAUUUCAGUGAUGGAUGCUGGCAAGACUUGUACCUUCACUACGGGGCUUCCUUCUGCUUGCUGGGGCUCUGCAGCGCAGAUAAGCACCAGGAAAGGAGUAAGGUCUGAUCACCAAAAAAAGUAACACUUUCUGCUAGAUAUUAACCGCAGAGCAAUGAAAUGUUCCCCAUCUGUUAUCCAGUUGUAACAGACCACCACAGCAUGCAGCAGCUUUAAAAAAAAAAAGAAAGAAAAAGAAAAAAAAAGGUGAGAGCUAAUUACAGUCACUGACAGCACGUUGUGAAGGAGAGGAGAUUCCCCUGGCACCUGGUGGCAAGGUGAUGCUGGUUGCAAGCCCUAAGCAUUCCUGAAGAUCUACUCAGAAAGAAAACAGCCAUCAGAGUGCUGCCCUUGGCCUCACUGGAAGCACAGAAAUGACCCGGGGUUGAAAAGGCCAGAAGUGUCUCUGGAGGCUCUUGGAGGCAGUGCGGGGAGUGUCGGCAGCACAGCGCUCUGUGCCCCAGUGCUCCAUGGAAGCCAACAGAUGAAAGAUCUGAAGGAGAAAGAAGACAAUCUCUCAAUUUUAGAAGGAAACAUAAGAAGCUGCAGAAGUACCAAAGGAGGACUUCUCCGCAGAGCAUGUUGCUGUUACUUAACAAGUCUCCCAUGCCACACUGAUGCUGGGGGCACCAUGGUUCCUGCACGUUGUCACCAAGAUGGAGCUAGGGGACCCACUGUGACACUUCCUGAUAAGACAAUAAUGAGAGAUUUAGGCAGUCUGUUCACAGAGGCUGCUGUCUGGCUCCUGAGGCACAGAAAGCAUUGAAAGGGAGCAGUCGGUAUAGCACACCUUUUCCUCAUUUAUCUGAAUACUGAGCCAGAAGUUGUACUGCCCUGGAGAAAAGGCAAUUCAAAUUGCUUUCUUUAUGAUAUCUGAAGCCAUCUGUGGCUUAGGCUGUUCCGAAUACAGCCUUUGGACAUCCUGCAUCUGUCCGUACAAAGCAAAUCCAACCACGCCUGGGAGCUGGGGCAUGACUGCCCGUACUGCUGAGCUGCUAAUACUCCUCCCCAGCGUGCUUUUGGCUGUCUUGCUCUGUCACAUGAUUCCCAACAAUGUUGUGCCAACAAAACCUUCCAGCACUUGCUCCUGGGAGGAGGUGUGUAUGUGGUGGCCCCUGUUUGGUGGCUGAGGAAUCUCAUAGCGUUAACACGCCCACUCCUUGCCAGCUGGCCUACAUGCAUGACAGCACUCCUGGGCACGUUUAACUGCUGCUACAGAUGCCAUUUCAAACAUUUAAUGUUUUCAUUCCACGUGUAGGUGAAGAUCCAGGAUUGCUUCAGGAGUUCCAAACACAGCAUCAAAUGGGAGAAACCUUUGCUUCUAAGUUUUUUGCCUUUAAUAAACUCUCACUUUAUUCAUUUGAAGUGUUGUUCCUCUCAGGAAGAGUUGCCUUCACUAAUUGCCAGACAUCUGAGAGUAACUUGGAAUAGCAUGUUUAAAGUAACAUAUGUGACUCCUCAUUUUUUCUGCUUUCCACCACUUAAGCUAUACUCAUUUGUAAAGAUGCAUUUCUAGAGUUAAUUCAUUCAUAAUUCAAAGUGAAAAUCUUUUUUCAUAUUCUUUCCAGCUGUAGACUUCCACCUCUGAAAUACAGCCCAUUCAUAUUUAAAAUAAGAAGUCUCCCUUCUCUAAGUGUUGCCUUUGUGGAUGCAGUUUCUCAAAUCAAUUGCUAUUAUUUUUGUAUAUUUUUUCAAUUGACAUAAGAUCACACCUGCCUUAUUGAUCGAUACGAUACUUUACGCAGCAAAUUUACUUUGAAAUAGCUAACAAGCAAGGAAAUACGGAUAUACAAGAGAUACUAAACGAAUGUUCUCUUUCUUUAUUACCUAUUCCUAUUUAUCUACUUCUUGGUUACUCUCUAUUUCACAUUUUUACACAAAAAAUAAAAUAAAAUAAAAUAAAAUAAAAUAAAAUAAAAUAAAAUAAAAUAAAACAAAACAAACUAUGGGAUUUGCUGUGGCUGUUUGUUUUGUUUGUUGGUAGUUUUUCUGAUAUUAUUAUUGUAAAUAGAGUCCAUUUUGAGUUACAUGUAUGUGAAGGAAAGAAUUUACCUACAUUUCAGCAACAUAAUUUAUUGUCCUGUUUUUUAUUAUAAUUUAUGAUGCAACUGUGGUUAAUGUUUUAGAUAGUGUCAACUGUAGACUUUCAAAAAUGGUUUCACGAUCACCCUAUUAUCAUACUGACCUUGAAAUAAUAAGAUUUUUUUAAAAAAAACAAUCAUUUAAAGUCUUUUUAUGUGUAUUCUGGUUUCUGAAACAUUAGGGGUCACAUUUUUGAGAUUUUUCUUUCUAACCACACCAGGAACUUUCUCUAAUAAGCUACAUAAACAAAGCUGAGACACUCUGCUGAUUGAAUGAAGAAUCAUAAAGUGGUGCUUGAAGAGUAAAAAAGAACUAUCAUGGGAGUUGUGUUUAAAAUCAGAGAGGCUGGCUGCAUUGUCUUUCCCACAUUGUGAGCCUUAAUGCAGACUUCCAACUCAGAAACAUUCAGCAACUGAAGUUUUCUUGAUUUUCAGAGAUACUGAACAACAAAAGUUCUCCUUGACAACAUAUGUCUAAUGCAUCCAAAAAUAAAGCUAUUUUAAGUAGCUAAGCUGGGCACCAUAACCUUCAAGUGAAAGCCCGUUAGGAAAGUAUAAGUGCAGUGACUAAUAUUUCUUUUAAGGCAGGACUACAAAUGAAGUGAGUACAAGCGAUGUGAAUUCUCUCUUCUAAGAUUUUGUUUGCACUGUAAUUAAUAUUGAUUACUGGCAGUUAAAACAGUUCCAGAACUUCUUUUCAUGUCAAAUAAGGCUUCCUGUUAAAUCACAACUUGGGAUUUGCCAAAUUUAUUCUGUCC